RNAcentral lists this long non-coding RNA (1162 nucleotides) under Oryctolagus cuniculus (rabbit). RNAcentral describes it as "lncRNA (ENSOCUG00000034607.1)". The record is from RNAcentral. Lineage: Eukaryota; Metazoa; Chordata; Mammalia; Lagomorpha; Leporidae.
GGUGAGCUCCGUCGCGGGGACCUCGGGGACGUCGUGGCCGCAGCCGUGUGCCUGCGCCUGCCUGUGAAGCCUGGGCACCUUGAGUGACGUUAUGGAAGAAGGCACAUUCAUCUCCCGUAUUUAAAAUUGUGCCACUGCCUGCUCUCAGCUCCCAGAACGAGCGCCUUCCGUCCAACAGUCGCUCUGUGACCACUCAGUGGUGACAGUUCCCGAGAGAGUGCCCGUGGGGAAGUCGCCGGGGCCUCACCCAUGCCAAGGAAGUCACUCACCCCGCUCAUCCGCGAGAGCCUGGCUGUGUCCCAUGCGCCACGCACGGUCACCUAGCAUCGGCCACUGCACGAGGUUGCUGCCCACGUGGUAUCCCCAGGCUGGGAAGGCACAGGAGUCCACUCUGAGUCCAAGGCCUCCUCACCACAGCCCUGCCGGGGAGCGCCGCUGUGACCACGAUGGCUCUACACCCCAGAACGCACAGGCUCAGAUCCUGCCCGGGAGGGCUGCUGGCUUGACCACUGACAGUGCCAGGGAGGCGGCCGCGGUUAGUGAAUGCCACCUGGAGGGCUGCCUGGAUGGGAGCCCAGGGUCCACAUGGGGCAGUGGUGUCGGCAGCACUGGUGAGUACCGGCUUGGGGGUCCAGCAGCUGCACCCUGGACAAUACCCACUCAGCCAGCCCCGCCCUGGGUGGACCUCACGUCCACGCUCACAGCCGGGGCAGAGCGGCCUUGCUGCCAUCUCCUCUCUGGGUCCGUGGCCCAGCCACGCCCACGAGGGCCGGGACCCACCGGGUGCCCCCCUGAGUCAGACCCAGCCCAGGGGGCCUCCUGCACCUGCUGCCGGCUCCAGGGGAGGGCGGGGCGGGGCGGGGGAGAGCGAAUCUGUCUGGCGAGCAUGUGGACAGUCAGGUGGCCAGGCCCGCUCUGGGGGCGAGGCUGGGGGUGCACACCGGUCGCCCUCCUGGGCAGAGAACCUGGGUUUCUGCCAUAUUCAUGCCCGGCUCGCGUGGGCGCGCAGCUGCCGCCGUGGCUGCUCAGCUGUGGAGGCUCCAGGGCCGCCCUUAGGGGAGCCUGGUGCCUGGGGGGGGGGGGGCGGAUGGAUGGGGAAGCCCCUCCCGGAACGGCCCGCCCGCCACGCACCUCCCCCCUUCCCCACAUCGCCGCAUGAUUA